Unclassified non-coding RNA from Pongo abelii (Sumatran orangutan), 117 nucleotides. It matches the Rfam family "Metazoan signal recognition particle RNA". Rfam says of the family: The signal recognition particle (SRP) is a universally conserved ribonucleoprotein. NCBI's taxonomy places the organism in Eukaryota, Metazoa, Chordata, Mammalia, Primates, Hominidae. The record is from Ensembl.
GCCAGGCGUGGUGGCUCACGCCUGUAAUCCCAGCACUUUGGGAGGCUGAGACGGGUGGAUCACUUGAGGUCAGGAGUUCAAGACCAGCCUGGCCAACAUGGCGAAACCCCGUCUCUA